This 91-nucleotide transfer RNA is filed under the name Saccharomyces cerevisiae (brewer's yeast). It matches the Rfam family "tRNA". From Rfam's summary of the family: Transfer RNA (tRNA) molecules are approximately 80 nucleotides in length. Their secondary structure includes four short double-helical elements and three loops (D, anti-codon, and T loops). Lineage: Eukaryota; Fungi; Ascomycota; Saccharomycetes; Saccharomycetales; Saccharomycetaceae. The record is from RNAcentral.
GCGGAUUUAGCUCAGUUGGGAGAGCGCCAGACUGAAGAAAUACUUUGGUCAAGUUAUCUGGAGGUCCUGUGUUCGAUCCACAGAAUUCGCA